RNAcentral lists this transfer RNA (77 nucleotides) under Xanthobacter flavus. RNAcentral's name for it is "tRNA-Thr". It matches the Rfam family "tRNA". From Rfam's summary of the family: Transfer RNA (tRNA) molecules are approximately 80 nucleotides in length. Their secondary structure includes four short double-helical elements and three loops (D, anti-codon, and T loops). Further hydrogen bonds mediate the characteristic L-shaped molecular structure. tRNAs have two regions of fundamental functional importance: the anti-codon, which is responsible for specific mRNA codon recognition, and the 3' end, to which the tRNAs corresponding amino acid is attached (by aminoacyl-tRNA synthetases). tRNAs cope with the degeneracy of the genetic code in two manners: having more than one tRNA (with a specific anti-codon) for a particular amino acid; and 'wobble' base-pairing, i.e. permitting non-standard base-pairing at the 3rd anti-codon position. The record is from RNAcentral. Lineage: Bacteria; Pseudomonadati; Pseudomonadota; Alphaproteobacteria; Hyphomicrobiales; Xanthobacteraceae.
GCUGUCGUAGCUCAGUUCGGUAGAGCACUCGCCUCGUAAGCGGGAGCGCGCGGGUUCGAUGCCUGCCGGCAGCACCA